CCCUUAGAUGUCCUGGGCCGCACGCGCGCUACACUGAGUGUCUGAGAUACGAGUCUGCCUAGCCGGCGAGGUCUAGGUAAUCGCUGAAAGACACAUCAUCCUUGGGAUAGAUUAUUGCAGAUAUUAAUCUUGAACGAGGAAUUCCUAGUAAGCGCAAGUCAACAGCUUGCGUUGAUUACGUCCCUGCCCUUUGUGCACACCGCCCGUCGCUACUACUGAUUGGAUGUUUAAGCGAGGUUCUCGAACUGCUAGCGACUUAGCUUCGGUGAGGUCGCCGUGUGGGAAGUGAACCUAGCUUUGGUGUCUAGAGGAAGUAAAAGUCGUAGCA
RNAcentral lists this ribosomal RNA (328 nucleotides) under uncultured eukaryote. Its description in RNAcentral is "partial 18S ribosomal RNA". It matches the Rfam family "Eukaryotic small subunit ribosomal RNA", at positions 1470 to 1796 of the family's 1831-position model. The record is from RNAcentral.